Long non-coding RNA from Etheostoma spectabile (orangethroat darter), 80 nucleotides. RefSeq lists it as uncharacterized. NCBI's taxonomy places the organism in Eukaryota, Metazoa, Chordata, Actinopteri, Perciformes, Percidae. The transcript has 3 exons. The record is from RefSeq and is a predicted model, not a curated record.
UAAUUGAUUGCUUAUUUUCUCCAUUAACCGAGUAGUUUUUUAGUCUGUAAAAUGUCAAGAAAUGGUGAAAAAUGGUGCAG